CUGAUGCUUAGGGGAGGAAGCCUGCUGUACCAUACUUCGGCGGCCCCGCCUAGUGUUACAUGGAAGGCUCUGCAUUUCAAAGCGGGCGAGGCUCCCCUUAGGCUCAUCUGUGUCAUGUACUUGGUGAGGUGCUUCUCCGGGUCUCCCUUUCCUUCAUACUUGGGGAUCUUAAGGGGCAUGAAAUUUGCUGGCAUUGGGAAGCUUCGGAUCUCUCUUGAGAAUGAGAGGUUAUCAUCAUCA
This 240-nucleotide long non-coding RNA is filed under the name Olea europaea (common olive). RNAcentral describes it as "long non-coding RNA (OEUR_LNC000480)". Lineage: Eukaryota; Viridiplantae; Streptophyta; Magnoliopsida; Lamiales; Oleaceae. The record is from RNAcentral.